ACGAAAUUUACGAUCCAUGGACGAACGGACAUUAAGUAAUGUAAUUGUUUAUAAUGAAUUUAUAAUUGUUAAUAUAAUAUGUUUCUUAAACUUCAUAGAAGAUUCUGCGUUGUUUGUCCCACAGCGCCUCGCGCCGCCCAGUCAGUAGCAGAGGGCUAAUACUCAUAGCUCAACUUCGCAGUCAUGGCAGAUACCGGUGUACGAUUUGUUAAACAACGCCUGGAUGUAUGGCGCCAUUUCAGUUACAACGCGAAGGAGAACACCGCAGGACGGACGCCACCAAAGAGUCUGCGGCUUUAAAAUGGCAGGAAAGAAAACUGCGAAUCUCAAGCGACAUCCGAGGAGCCAACAUGCUGCCAUCGAUUCCUGACCCAGUGACAUCACAGCCAUACCAGAGUUGGGGAAGGAAGGUCGUUUCCUGGGAUGUUCUAAAGGUCUUUAUAAAUAAAGUUGAGUUGGGUGCUGGCUGGUUGAGUUUGCUUUGGGAGAAGUUCUCAGGCUCCAGGCCUUCAUUUAUGGAUCUAGCUUCUUUUCCUGGAUUUCCUGCCUGACACAAUCAUCUGUGAGACGUUAGAUUUAAAGUGCAUCUACCUGCUUCCUGCCAUCUUUAAACAUGACUGCUUUAUCCCUCUUUCAUCUGGAAAUCCCUGCAGCGCUGCGUCUUCCAACCCACAGUUUGCUUUGUUUUCUAUCAGGACUUGAUGAGAGUCCUGAGCAAACAUCCUGAGGUCUCGUUAGAACGGAUCAAACAGAGACAUGAAGGAGGUCGUUUCCUCCGCGGAUUAUUUGGAUGAAAAACAUUGAUCUAUGAAAUGUUCAUAAUUACAACAAAUCACUGCAGAAAAGAGCAGGUACCGUUUCACAACCUGGUAAUCAGGACUCCUUCAGGAUUGGUUUCAUUUCAACACAAACUACCAGCUAAAGGAAACCAUCAACGCAUGCUGACAAAGUAUUCACACCCCUGAACCUGUCUUACUCACAUUUUUCACAGCAAAGACCCAAUUCAGAUCAUUUCAGCCACCAGAAAAAAUCUGAUUUCAUCCACUUCCAGACGUCCUACUAAAGAAACUCUGUUUCUUCAGGGACAUAAAUUCAACUUUCAGUGUUGCUAUUGGUCCAUAUUAGAUGGAGCUGGAAUGAAAACUUCUGAAAGAGUUAAAGAGUUUUCACUGUGAAAGAGUUGGAACAAAACUGCCUAAAAGUUUAAAUUCAGGUUUAAAUUUAUCUAAAAUGUCAAAAUUUAACUAACUAGAGCUCCUAAUGUAAGGAUUUAUAGCCAGAUAUAGCUGAGUAUCAUCAGCAUAGCGGUGGAAUGAAUCCCAUGCUGCUGUGGGGCACGCUGACAGGAGCAAGGCUGCCAGAACUACCAUCAACACUUCACCCAUGCAGAUCAGAUGCCUUGCUUAUGGACACAAUGACUGAGCUGGGAUUCAAACCAGCCACCAACCAGCUGCACAACAAACUGCAUUCUGCUCCACAACUUUAAAGGCUGCUGAUGUCAUCGUUAGGAGACAGGAGCUCACAGGCUGACAUUAAGGGAGAAACGAUGCUACGUUUUUAUUUUAAAAUCAACAUUUAAGAGACUUUGGAGAAACAAACCUUUUGUUGAAUUAACAGACAACAUUACAGCACAACAUCAACUAGCAGCGCGAAUUCAGCUUCAUUGUUUGUUAUGAAAGUGACCAUGAUGCUGUUAUUUGCCACUGCUGCCUGGGGCACAGCCACGUUACACGACUCUGCUCUCUUAUUGCAUAUAAAGUUUUUAUGAAAACUUACUGCUGCCGUCAUUUUUCUCUUUAAAAUUGUUUUUGCCCAAUUUGUUGGUAAAUAAAACCGUUUGUGUUUAUUUACAAUAACAAUGCAAUACUGUAAGUGUGCACAAUGGGUAAAGAUAAAGGGGCUGAGCUAAUUAGCAAAGUUAAAGAUCUAAAAAAUGCAAAAAAUGAAACAGUUGAUUGUUGGUUGGACUGGAGUCGAGCUGCAGGGUCCAUUAAACGGGCCGGGCUGCUGGAUCACUUUAGGGCUCAUCAACAAUACAACCUUUGGAUCCAUUUCAUUUCUAUUCAUUAAAAUAAAAAAGUUUUGACC
This is a long non-coding RNA of Cyprinodon tularosa, 2088 nucleotides long. RefSeq lists it as uncharacterized. The transcript has 2 exons. NCBI's taxonomy places the organism in Eukaryota, Metazoa, Chordata, Actinopteri, Cyprinodontiformes, Cyprinodontidae. The record is from RefSeq and is a predicted model, not a curated record.